This 385-nucleotide ribosomal RNA is filed under the name Haloarcula marismortui. RNAcentral's name for it is "partial 16S ribosomal RNA". The stretch from base 257 to 385 matches the Rfam family "Archaeal small subunit ribosomal RNA", at positions 1 to 131 of the family's 1478-position model. Lineage: Archaea; Methanobacteriati; Methanobacteriota; Halobacteria; Halobacteriales; Haloarculaceae. The record is from RNAcentral.
GCGAAGGUCGCGCCGGGCAGCAUUCCCCGAACGACACCCCAACGCCACCCCCGUGGUGGGUUGGGUCACUCGCUUAGAAUGCGAGGCCAGCCGAGGCUUCGUGUUCGUGUAUGAGGAUUCCAGCCCUGCGGUCCGCCGUUAAGAUGGAAUCUGAUGUGAGCCCACGGACCCAUGCAGUAGUCAACAUUGGCGUAGGAACCAAUGUGUUAGCUUCCGACGGAGUGCAACCGCUUCCGCCGCUGAUGUAUAUCAGCACAUUCCGGUUGAUCCUGCCGGAGGCCAUUGCUAUCGGAGUCCGAUUUAGCCAUGCUAGUUGCACGAGUUUAGACUCGUAGCAUAUAGCUCAGUAACACGUGGCCAAACUACCCUACAGACCGCAAUAACC